CUCACUUUGAAUCACUGGUUUUUAAAACAAAUUCACAUAAGUAAUAGAUCCAUGCUGUUCUCUGUCUGUAUUAUACAACUUUUAAACAUAAACUGAAAUAAUUUAAUGAGAGGUAAUACAUUUCACAUGAACUGGAAAACGAGUAUUUAUGAGACUUGAACAUAAUUUGUAGUGUAAUACACAGCUUUCUUGGAUAAAUAAACCCUAGUAAAGCUUCAUUCUCUACCUACCAAGCUUUACUUUUCUGCCCACUAAGGGGUACCAUGGCUUUGAUUGCCAUGGUCUUUUGGGGCUUGCCAUAUUCAUGAAUCUUACUAGUACAUUAUUUCAAAAGGUUGUUGAAUGAAGAUUUUGUAAUGACAUUAAAUAACAUUAUGUAAUCUGUAGAAUAUUUUGAAUAUAGCCAAAUUAAAAAUAGUGGACAAUGAUGGUAACUUCUAACUUUAUCUCUUGGAAAGUCUUACCUGUGGCUGAGGAAAC
This 480-nucleotide long non-coding RNA is filed under the name Homo sapiens (human). RNAcentral describes it as "HSALNT0079838". The record is from RNAcentral. Lineage: Eukaryota; Metazoa; Chordata; Mammalia; Primates; Hominidae.